Molecule: ribosomal RNA, 425 nt
Filed under: uncultured Sphingomonas sp.
Lineage: Bacteria; Pseudomonadati; Pseudomonadota; Alphaproteobacteria; Sphingomonadales; Sphingomonadaceae
Description: bacterial SSU rRNA
Rfam family: Bacterial small subunit ribosomal RNA
Source: RNAcentral
GUGGGGAAUAUUGGACAAUGGGCGAAAGCCUGAUCCAGCAAUGCCGCGUGAGUGAUGAAGGCCUUAGGGUUGUAAAGCUCUUUUACCCGGGAUGAUAAUGACAGUACCGGGAGAAUAAGCCCCGGCUAACUCCGUGCCAGCAGCCGCGGUAAUACGGAGGGGGCUAGCGUUGUUCGGAAUUACUGGGCGUAAAGCGCACGUAGGCGGCUUUGUAAGUUAGAGGUGAAAGCCCGGGGCUCAACUCCGGAAUUGCCUUUAAGACUGCAUCGCUAGAAUUGUGGAGAGGUAAGUGGAAUUCCGAGUGUAGAGGUGAAAUUCGUAGAUAUUCGGAAGAACACCAGUGGCGAAGGCGACUUACUGGACACAUAUUGACGCUGAGGUGCGAAAGCGUGGGGAGCAAACAGGAUUAGAAACCCGUGUAGUCC